GCAAAACACAUAGGUGGAACGUGACCACAACAACUUGACAAAAAGGCUCCCACUAUAAAGAAUGAACACAUGAGCAUUUCUCAUGUCGCUUCGGGCUUCUUUCCCAGCAGGUCCCAGCAGCCGCCGCAGCCCAGCACUGCGUCGGCUCCCUUGGAAGAAACCUCAGAGAGAAGUAAGUUUCUGCUAGAUUUGCAAACCGGAAUGGGGUGAAGCUUCGGAAAGAGGCCAAACAAAGAAAAUGGGUCGUUAUUAACCCACUCAAAGCCUAAGACGGACACACACACACACCCCCUCAGAGAAACUGGAAAGAGGAAAGGUGGGAAUAUUUCCCCGGCAGCACAAGAAGAGGGUACGAGAAGGGAUAACGGCGGUACUUGGAGAAAAGAGUUUUGAGUUUCUCUUGGCAGCAGAAGCCCCCUGCCCACCGUGAGGGGAAGCACCGAGGAGCCGAAGCAGAGAUGAUGGUGCAAAGAGAACUCAGUGAAAUGACUUGCUAUAGAACAGCCAUCAGAAGUAGAGCAUCUUUUCACUGAAGAAAAUGGAAAUGCAUAACUGUCACUAUAUCUGCAUUAUUCUGCAGCCAGUGCCAUUGUCAAGUUUGGGACCAGCUGGAAAAAACAAUAACAUCUUCUGCUACAGCUGGGCUGCUCUCCAUUCAAGUACUGCUCUGGAAUGGAUACCAAAUGCUACCAGCUGGAUUGUGAAACUCCAGUUUAUAAAUCAUGAUUAAAAUGAAAAAGAACUAAAAAAGUUUGUGCACAAAGAGGGAAUGUUAAGCACUGGGUUUUUAAUAAUGUAACUCAUUAGGCUUGAAACUUUUUGUGCCAUCUUAUACUGUAUUUGCAACAAAAAGAAUUAAAAAGUUGAAGAACCUGUUGAAUUUCUGAAUGCCUGAUAGCAAAGACCCCUUUGCCCUGAAAAUAUGUAAGAAGAGAGAGCUUAAUGCACGUACAGUGUCUUAUAAUGUGACUUUUGUUUGUAUAAAUGGAAGAACUAUGAUGAUUUGCAGUUUUUGCUGUUAACUGAGCAAUUGUUUGGGUGGCAACUGUCCAUUUCAGUGUGGAAUCUGGGAAAUACCCACAAAAUAUUGGGUGUUAUGCUAGGUACAUUUCUCUUCUGUGGCAAGAAAAGUGAGCUGCAGCAACAGGAAACUCCAAUAGUACGAGAAAGAAAGCAGAUAGCUCCUUGAAGAUGACAAAUCAAAAAAAAAAAAAGUAUUUCCAUGUUUAAAAAAUUCACAGGAAU
This is a long non-coding RNA of Corvus hawaiiensis (hawaiian crow), 1245 nucleotides long. RefSeq lists it as uncharacterized. The record is from RefSeq and is a predicted model, not a curated record. NCBI's taxonomy places the organism in Eukaryota, Metazoa, Chordata, Aves, Passeriformes, Corvidae. The transcript is spliced from 3 exons.